AUCUUUGCACUUGGGGCAAUGACACAGCUAGUGAGGUUCUAAUUGAGGCGUGUCUAUUGCUGGUUGAAAACUAUUUCCAAACCCCUUCUUCAUCAUGGGUUCGCCCUUGGCCGUUGAGAAUUUUUGGAAGGGCUCCCUUCGGGGUUUAAGCC
Nicotiana sylvestris (wood tobacco) is the source of this 152-nucleotide non-coding RNA. The record is from Rfam. Lineage: Eukaryota; Viridiplantae; Streptophyta; Magnoliopsida; Solanales; Solanaceae.